This 421-nucleotide long non-coding RNA is filed under the name Gallus gallus (chicken). The record is from RNAcentral. Lineage: Eukaryota; Metazoa; Chordata; Aves; Galliformes; Phasianidae.
CUUUCCUGCAAAUCAAGAAGACUUUGUUCUGCUGUCUGCAGACUUUCCAAGUCCUUCAUCAUUUUUGUGAUGUGUUCUUUUGAGGUUCUGUUCUGUGUAUACGCAAACCAGCAGCCUCCAAAACCAAUAACUAUAGAAACUGUUAAUACAAAAUCCUUCAUCCAGUUGUGAGGGGGACGUGUAAGAGGUCCAAAUAAAACAACAUCCAAGGCUUUAAGCUGAAGCUUCUGUCUAUGGCUCCGGUCAAUUAUUUUCAGGUGAGAGAUCAUGAAAGCAUGUUCAUUUACUGCUAUCCUGGGAAGUGUUGUUCCAUUGACAUUGCUCUCCCUAAAAUUCUUUUCAUACUGGGGCAGUUCAACGAAUUCUGACAGCCAUUGAAGAGUGUCCUCUUGAGUCCAAUUAUGAACUUCAGAUGUUUUCC